ACGAACGCUGGCGGCGUGCUUCACACAUGCAAGUCGUACGGUAAGGCCCUUUCGGGGGUCCCCGAGUGGCGAACGGGUGAGUAACACGUGAGUAACCUGCCCACAACUUUGGGAUAACGCUAGGAAACUGGUGCUAAUACUGGAUAUGUGCUCCUGCUGCAUGGUGGGGGUUGGAAAGCUCCGGCGGUUGUGGAUGGACUCGCGGCCUAUCAGCUUGUUGGUGGGGUAGUGGCCUACCAAGGCGGCGACGGGUAGCCGGCCUGAGAGGGUGACCGGCCACAUUGGGACUGAGAUACGGCCCAGACUCCUACGGGAGGCAGCAGUGGGGAAUAUUGCACAAUGGGCGCAAGCCUGAUGCAGCAACGCCGCGUGCGGGAUGACGGCCUUCGGGUUGUAAACCGCUUUCAGCAGGGACGAAGCUUUUUGUGACGGUACCUGCAGAAGAAGCACCGGCUAACUACGUG
RNAcentral lists this ribosomal RNA (464 nucleotides) under uncultured bacterium. RNAcentral describes it as "partial 16S ribosomal RNA". It matches the Rfam family "Bacterial small subunit ribosomal RNA", at positions 29 to 507 of the family's 1533-position model. The record is from RNAcentral.